CUCCUACGGGAGGCUGCAGUGGGGAAUAUUGGACAAUGGGGGCAACCCUGAUCCAGCAAUGCCGCGUGUGUGAAGAAGGCCUUCGGGUUGUAAAGCACUUUAGGCUGGGAAGAAGGUGAGUAGUUUAAGAGACAAUUCAUUUGACGGUACCGGCAGAAUAAGCACCGGCUAACUCUGUGCCAGCAGCCGCGGUAAUACAGAGGGUGCGAGCGUUAAUCGGAAUUACUGGGCGUAAAGGGCGCGUAGGUGGUUAUAUAAGAUUGUUGUGAAAUCCCUGGGCUUAACCUAGGAACUGCAACGAUGACUGUAUAGCUUGAGUAUUGUAGAGGGUAGUGGAAUUUCCGGUGUAGCGGUGAAAUGCGUAGAGAUCGGAAGGAACACCAGUGGCGAAGGCGGCUACCUGGACAAAUACUGACACUGAGGCGCGAGAGCGUGGGGAGCAAACAGGAUUAGAUACCCUGGUAGUCCACGCUGUAAACGAUGAAGACUAGAUGUUGGGCAGCUUGACUGUUUAGUAUCGAAGCAAACGCGAUAA
This 535-nucleotide ribosomal RNA is filed under the name uncultured bacterium. Its description in RNAcentral is "bacterial SSU rRNA". It matches the Rfam family "Bacterial small subunit ribosomal RNA", at positions 336 to 863 of the family's 1533-position model. The record is from RNAcentral.